AGAGUUUGAUCCUGGCUCAGGAUGAACGCUGGCGGCGUGCCUAACACAUGCAAGUCGAGCGAAGCGCUUUAGUAAGAUUUCUUCGGAAUGACGACUUUAGUGACUGAGCGGCGGACGGGUGAGUAACGCGUGGGCAACCUGCCUCGCACAGGGGGAUAACAGUUAGAAAUGACUGCUAAUACCGCAUAAGACCACAGCUUCGCAUGGAGCGGUGGUAAAAACUCCGGUGGUGCGAGAUGGGCCCGCGUCUGAUUAGCUAGUUGGUGAGGUAACGGCUCACCAAGGCGACGAUCAGUAGCCGACCUGAGAGGGUGACCGGCCACAUUGGGACUGAGACACGGCCCAGACUCCUACGGGAGGCAGCAGUGGGGAAUAUUGCACAAUGGGGGAAACCCUGAUGCAGCGACGCCGCGUGAAGGAUGAAGUAUUUCGGUAUGUAAACUUCUAUCAGCAGGGAAGAAAGUGACGGUACCUGACUAAGAAGCCCCGGCUAACUACGUGCCAGCAGCCGCGGU
This 515-nucleotide ribosomal RNA is filed under the name uncultured chicken cecal bacterium. RNAcentral describes it as "bacterial SSU rRNA". It matches the Rfam family "Bacterial small subunit ribosomal RNA", at positions 8 to 521 of the family's 1533-position model. The record is from RNAcentral.